This 226-nucleotide ribosomal RNA is filed under the name uncultured bacterium. Its description in RNAcentral is "partial 16S ribosomal RNA". It matches the Rfam family "Bacterial small subunit ribosomal RNA", at positions 106 to 334 of the family's 1533-position model. The record is from RNAcentral.
CGGGAGUAAUGUCUGGGAAACUGCCUGAUGGAGGGGGAUAACUACUGGAAACGGUAGCUAAUACCGCAUAACGUCGCAAGACCAAAGAGGGGGACCUUCGGGCCUCAUGCCAUCAGAUGUGCCCAGAUGGGAUUAGCUAGUAGGUGGGGUAACGGCUCACCUAGGCGACGAUCCCUAGCUGGUCUGAGAGGAUGACCAGCCACACUGGAACUGAGACACGGUCCAG